Molecule: long non-coding RNA, 2656 nt
Organism: Hylaeus anthracinus
Lineage: Eukaryota; Metazoa; Arthropoda; Insecta; Hymenoptera; Colletidae
Exons: 4
Source: RefSeq, a predicted model, not a curated record
UCGGCAGGAAUGUGUUCGAGAUGGUUUAUCAUCCCGAAUUCGUUCUAAUCGAACGCGAACCUAGCCUUUGACGGUAGUUUGGUAAAUUCGUUUGAGAAAGAAUACACAUUCCCUCCUUGAAAUCAACGUCGUCACGCCACUUUCACCCUGCUGGCAACGCCGCGCCGCGGAAAGAUCAUUGUAAAAUAAUAAUUGCGUUGCUUGUUACGAAUGAAAUGCGUAAAAUCGUGUAAUGUAACAGCGUCGUAUAUAUAUAUGUAAUUGUUGGAAUGAUAAACACAUCGAAUAUUACCAUCGCGUUCGAGUUUACAGUUACGGUUAUCAUUGGAAGGACACGUAAAUAUUGCGUGUUAAAAUUAAACGUUCAUUCCGCUUCGUACAUUGAAACCAUAGCGUGAAAUUGCCGCGUGCUUCGUCCUCGCGCAAUGUUGUCGCCGCGCGAGCCGAGCCACUUGGUGGCCGCGAGACGCGAGACGAGGUACAACUCGUAAACACCAAAUUCUCGCGUGUACCGAGUCGCGAAAUUUCGAGGAUUUUUUCUAUGAACUAGCGACGAUCACGUGGUUCGAAGAUCCUUUGUCUCCAAAGCUUCUAGAACGUUCUUCCACUCCCAUCUCAUCACUUCUUCUCGUACAGUCGCGGUGAGCGCGAGUAAGUCCGAGCGAGCCGUAUAAGAGUUACAGUGCGUACCCAUUAGUAUCGUAAUACGAAGUAAGCGUUUUCAACGGUUUUCCGAGUAAAUCGCUGCAUUGUAAGAAGGAAGGAAGCCUAGCUCGAACCAUUCGAAUUACGAUUAGUUACACAAAAGAAAAUGAUUGAUCACCGAGGUCAUUUUUACUCAACUGUGAAGAGAGCAACGCGAGAGUUUCAAGUGGGUCCUUGCGGCAGCAAGGAAGGACACCGACUGAAAGGAAGGCUUGCAACAGAUGCAUAGUACUGUUGGUCAUCGGGGCAUGACAUCGGGGCAGAUAACAGCGGUGGAAGUUUGUUGGGAAGUUCCUACGUCCUUCGAGAGCCAUAUAAUCGACGCUGGAAAGAUCUACAAGCGAUCAAGGCAACGCGAAAACGAGAAAAUCAAGUUCCCAUCGCGUGCGCGAAUUCUCAACGUGUUUUAUCAACCUCGUUAACAGCGAUCGGGAAACGGCGGCGGGCUCUUGGACGAGUUCACGGACGAAAGGUAAAACAUUCCAACAGAAUUUUUAUAAACGAAGAGUUUGUUACAAGAGGGAAGUAUUACGCGAAUCCCAUUUUCACUUAAGCGCUAUUCGGAUACUGUAAUUUUAAUAAACUCAAAGUGUAUUGGACUUGCAGGCUACCUUCGAUAUUCUUUGACCGAAAACAGAUUUUUUGAUACAUAAACGUUUUUAAUUUAUAGAAUCAUCUUCGGAUGCAACUAAAUUAUUUAAUCACGUACAAUGAAGCCAAACAGCAUUUAAAGAAUUUUUUCUUUUACAAUUAUUUCAGCAGUGUUUAUUGUUGAAUAUGCAGGUGAAAAUGUAUGCGGAGUUCGUUGUAAAUACAAUGUUCCGUGGUGCGGCAUUUGUUCGUUGAGAACCCGCGAGCUCGUAACGAACAAAUACUAAAAACGGCUUCUUAAUAAAAUUGUUAAAUUUAUUUUCCCCGAUAGUUUCAUUUUAUGGAUUCCAUUGUAAUCGAAUCAUUAUUCUAAAAUUUUUAUUUCGAAAGUCUCAAAAGUUAUUGGAUUUGCAACUAAUAUUCCGUAUUCAUAUACACGGAACCAUUUUUUUUUUCAAAUACAUAAACGAUUUCCAUUUAUAAAGUUAUGCUCAAAUGUAUCAAAAUUAUUUAAUCGUCUAAAGUUAAACAAAAACAGUUUUAAUAAUAUGCAGUCCAAAAAUAAAUAGUAACGUUAGUAAUACUAUAUGUAGGUUAUAUAUAAUACUAUAUAUGUAUACGUCAGUAAUAAUACGUAUCAAUUAUAAAUGAAUGCUCCCAUAAUCUUACUUUUUCAUAAAAAGACAAACAUUAAUUAAUUGUUUAUCCCAUCUUUGUUGCAUGCAUUUUAUUAACGUCGACAAUUAUUCGAUAUCACCUGGAAGAUUCAUAUUCUACGUGCUUUUUAAAAUAAAAAUAUCAAAAUAAUGACUCGAUAGAAAUUGAUUAUGUAGUAAGGAAUCGAAGAUUGCUUUAUUUCGAAUCUUUCUAUUUUCUGUUUGUAAGCUUUAUUGGUUUUAUUAAAAAAGAAAAAAAAAAUUCAAUAACUUUAUAAUCGCAUUUGUUCGUGUCACAAAUUUUGGAGUGCAUUUCGGACACCCGGUACGUUUAUACCUGUACUACAGGUGCCGCCCUUUUCCGGACUGUUUUUCUCCUAGUCUGUCACAGGAAGAAGGGUGGACAAGACCCUCGUAACGGAAAGUUUCAGGCUGCACGCGUAAUUGAAUGCAGAAUUUGAAAAGGACGGAAGACGAAAGAUUAUGGGAACGUGCUGUCGGGUUCUUCGCGAUCUAUAAAUAUAAAUACAUUCCAGCAAUUUUAUCGACUGGACGUCGCGUGAAUGAUGCCAUGGAUAAAACUGUCAGCUACAGAUCUAUCACUAACCCAUUCGCUACCAAUUUAUUUUAGUUUCAGAAUCCCCGUUUAUUGCCUGCGAAAGUUGCAGGAUAUUCAAAUAAAUUUUUGUAACGGUACGGAAUUU